AAUGAACGUUGGCAGCGUGGAUUAGGCAUGCAAGUCGAGCGACAAGGUCCUGGACGUGGAGGAGCGGCAAACGGGGUAGGUAAUACAUCGGAACGUACCCUCACGUCUGGGAUAGCCACGGGAAACUGUGGGUAAUACUGGAUAAUCUCACCACUUGUGAAGAGUGGUGAGCAAAGGUCCGCCGCGUGAGGAGCGGCCGAUGCGAUACUAGAUAGUUGGUGGGGUAAGUGGCCGUACCAAGUCUAAGAUGUCUAGGGGGUGUGAGAGCAUGGCCCCCACCCACUGGGACUGAGACACUGCCCAGACACCUACGGGUGGCUGCAGUCGAGAAUCUUUGGC
RNAcentral lists this ribosomal RNA (339 nucleotides) under uncultured bacterium. Its description in RNAcentral is "bacterial SSU rRNA". It matches the Rfam family "Bacterial small subunit ribosomal RNA", at positions 29 to 369 of the family's 1533-position model. The record is from RNAcentral.